AUUUGAAACAGAGGCUAACUUUUUUAUUGUACUUACACUAGACAUCUAUUACCUUAUUUACACAAAAGAUACUUCAAAUUGUGUAUUGUCUUAGCUGAUGGUAAUUGAAAAUAAGGGAGGUUAUGGGGUGGAGGAAAUCUGUGACCAUUCAUAAUUAAACAACCACAAGGAUACAUGCAUCAGUCAGCAAAAGCAGGCAUCAACAUUAUGGAGUGAAAAUUAAAGAGUCAAAUACCCGAGUGUCUACUGUAUCUGCCUGCUGCUAAACAGUGAAGCAUGGAGAACAGGAUACACCUCUAUGGAUGGAUAGCUUUUCUUAUUAAAAAAACACAGUGGGAAGCACAGUAAGGGAACAUACUAAAACAAGGCUUUGUAGCAAUUUCUUUGAAAGAAAUUUCCCAAGAUAGCAACUUGAAAAGCUUUUAAUCUUAUGACUAGCUAUAGAGUGUGCUUUGCAUUAGGUGGUAUUUAAAAAUUCCAUUAGCUUGCAACAGAUCUGUUAGAGUUUCCCAAACUCUUCAUUCUCAUUUUUUUCCUCUUAUAAAACAUUUGCCAUCCAGGCUUUUAAAAAUGUACACAAAUUUGUGAGUCUGAAACACUGUGACAAACAACAAAUGAUACAUCAACUAUUUUCAUUUUUUUUAAAUACAAAAUUUGACUUAGAUGUUGAUAUAAUGGCAUCUGUAAAUAGAGUAACAAGCUUUUAUAGCUGUACUUAUUGCUUCAUUCCCUUAAUGUCUCACGUUUCAUCAGGUGAAUACUGAAGGCAGUGCAGUGUGGCAUGUUUUCUCUCUUUUAAACUGCAUAGAAGAACCAGGAUCUUCCCGAAGAGCUUAAGAGAAAUAUUUCAACCAACAAUUUGAUUUCCUGCUCAUAUCCUGAAAUCAUUCCAUUUUAUUCCAUUGUGGAAUUUAAAAAUAUUUUAGCGUGAUGUAUAUAUUAGAAAAUAUUUUUUUAAACUGUGGUAUCUGUUGGUUACACUGUCCUUUAAAACUUCUUAAACGGACAGUGUAUAGAGAUAUUGCUAUAUAAAACAGCUAUCAAAAGAAAGCUUUGCAAAGUGUAAGUGAAAGGUGAACCACAAUUGAGUGCUCUUUGAAUAUUAAAUAUUUCAUAAAUGUAUGGGUAGUGAUAUAACAGUAGUUAGCUAAUACAAUGAAUCUAUUAUACAUAUUAUUUUUAUGGAUAAUUGUCAAUAUUUUUAGUUAUAGUAGAUACCAGGAAUUAACUGAUAGUUUGGAUAAAGAUAGUUACACGUAAGUUUCAUACUCAAAAGUCAAAAGAAUUUCAUAUUAAACCUGAAAUUUUGCAUAACUUCACAUUAAGAUACAUAUUUGAUAUCUAUUUGGUAACUGAACAUUUACAUAAUUUGACCACUAGAUCAGAGAUCCAGUCUAAAUUUUACAAGAUUUUUUUCAUAAACUAAGAGAAAUAAAAUUUAGUACAAUUUUCCCAUAUGAGAUAGCCAAUGAUAUGUAGUAUUGUAUGUAAUACUAUGCAUAUAAUAUUUCCAUAAUUUGGACAUUUAAGUAUUUUUUUCCCAGAGCUGGGGACCAAACCCAGGGCCACUGAGCCAAAUCUCCAACCCCCAUUUAAGUAGUUUUAAAGACAAUGUAACCAACAGACACUAAAGUUUAAAGGAAAAUGAUUUUCAAAUAUACAAAUUAAACUAAAAUAUUUUUAAAAUUCCACAAUGGAAUAAAAUGGAAUGAUUUCAGGAUAUUCAAGAAAAAUAUAUUCAUAAAUAUAAAAUAUGAGUGAAAAAGUAUAACUUUUACUUCCUACUGUAUUAUUUUAACAUAAACAUUUUGAAUACAGAAUAUUAAUUCGAAAGUGGUGUAAACUGGAAAAUAAUUAUGUUGCAAGUAACAUUUGUAAAAUUCAGUGGCAUAUUCUGGUUUCUUCAUCACAUUGUAUUGUAGUUUGAGAAAGUUUAACCUAAAACUUCAUUUAAUUAGUCCAAGAAAUUAUAUCUUUACUAGCAGGAUUUUGAGUAUAAACCCUGUCUACAUUUUACCAAUUUGAUAUUUUUUCAGCUGUCUGGUAUUAUAUUAGAAAAUACUUUAUUUCUAACUGUAGACAUGUUUUAGAGUGUUUGGACUAGAAAGUAAUUCUGAUAUGAAUUAAAAGAGUAAGUAUUUAGAAAACACAGUGUUUCAUGAGACUUAAGGAAUUGAAGUAUAGAUUUUAUUGAGGAUAGAAUAAUACUACAGUCAUACUUAAAGAUGUAUGCAUUUAUGACACCAAAAGUCAAACUUUUAAUUUUGAGUAGUUUGAGAUUCUAAAAUUGAACAAGAAGGAAAGUGAGAAUAACAUUAUUUGAUAAUUGGAUAACCUAUGAAACUCAAAAACCAAUUUUAAGUAAUUUUUAUUUAUUAUAACAACAUGAACUGCAUGAAAUUUAGUAAUACAGGAUUUUCAUGGAAAGAUAUGUAGAUCUUUGGGAGACAAAAUCAUAUUUUUCAACUUGUCUUGAAAGUUGAAAAUCUGGUCUUUAUAAUGUAAGUUAAAACAGCUCUCCAAUCACUAAUGUCCAUUUGCUACUCAUAACAAUACACUUUGUGGCUUUAAAAAUCAUUCAGGAAUAAAGACGUAGACACAUGGCUUAUUUUCAUGAGGAGCUUGUGCACACAAAUUUCUGCAUUUCCAAAACAACACUGUAACUGUGGGGGAAGGGGAAGUAUAUUUCAACAUUAUAUGCUUAUGCUACAAUUUGAUCAGAUCUAAUUUUAUUUGUUUUAUAUAUUUGGGGGUGGGGGAUUAAAGAAUUCCUGCAGGGAAACAGUUAAUCUAUUUUUAACUAAAGCUUUACUUUUGUAAUCUAUCCAGUGCUUCAAGUUCUGUCAUUGAUCUAUGAUUUAUGUGAUUUAAACCACCUCUUGGCUGUAACACUGGUUUCUGUUCAAGAUGCUGAGUUGAAUACUAAUUACAAGAUCAAAUUUAUGCUGUUGGGCUAAGCAGCUGAAUGAGUUUUCCAAGAAGGACUCCCUUCUCCAUCUCUGUCACAAUUGAACCUUUGGGAAGUUUUGUCAGAGAAAGGGAUAAGGGGGAAAUGAAAUGAAUGAAAUAAAAGGAUUCUACAUGUUUUAAUAUAUUAAGUGAUUGUUUUGUAUCACACUUAAACAGUCAAGAAUGGAAAUGUGCUUGUGCAGACAGAAACAUAACUUGUAUAUUUAUUGAUUCAUUGUGUGUGUUUCCAUGUAUGAAAACAUUGAAUAAAUGUUCAAAUCAAUAUUUAUAGCUGCAUUUAAAAUGAAAGUUAAUAGCUAGGGUCUGCUCCACAGAGUGAAAAAGCUUUCAUUAUUUAAUUGUAUGCCAAAUUUUUCAAACAUUGGGCAGCACUGAAUUAUAUAUGAUCAAUUAUUCUAUUGGAAGUGAGAAUCAAUUUGUUGGAGAAGUAAUUUGAGAAAUGUAGAUAACUUAGUGAUUUUCCCCCCAAGGUAGUGGGAUAAAAACUGGGACAAUUUUUGUCCAAUGAGUGACUUGAUAUACUUUUGGUAUUCACAAUUUAUAUGGCAUGAACUUAUUUUGAAACUAACAGCAAGCAUAUUGGCCAGGGAUGUUAAAUAUCGUAAACUGAAGAACACAAUUCACGUCCAAUAUGUCAAAGGUGACAUUGUUGAAAAUCUUUGUCCACAGGUCUCCUAUGCCGGCUAGGCCCUAGUCAUGUUUACAGAUAUUGCUGAGAAUCAGCAGGAGCUUAUGCUUUCUCCAUUAAAAAGAUAAGCAAUAUUAACUUAUAAGUACAACCCAACAUCACAAUGAAAAUGUGAAAUUUUAAACUUUAAAGAUAAUCCUUUAUUUUAUCUUAAGAUACACUGGGACCCUCCUUCUCUAAAUGUAUACAAAUACCACCUCCAGCCCAUUCUUCUCUUGUACUCAUAUAAAUAUAUAUUCAAGUAUUGCUUAUAUAUGUACAAAAUUUUAAUGUGGAUGUCUAGCUUUUACCAUGAAAAUAGGUGAAGUCCCUUUUGGUAUUGUUUAAUUCAUUGAAAUUGUACAGCUAAUUUUCUGUUGGUGUGAGGUGAACUUAUUUUUUUUUAGAUAGUUGUAUUGUUUUCUGUGUCUUCAUUCUUUUUAUAAUGGACUAUAUACUUGAUUGCAUUCAUCAAAUAAAAGGUACAAGGAAAGAUUAAGCCAAAUUUUCCUGCUGAAAUGAAGACUUGUUAGUGGAAUGAAUGGACCAUUUAACUGCAGGACUCAUGGGGUGUGUUAUGUGAGUCAGAUGACAAACAAUUGAUGACAUUAACAUUUUUUCUUUCAGAAUCAUUGGUGAUACUCUAUUUGAUGCAAUGUAAUGAAGCUAGCUAUAAGAAAACAGAAGGCAAAAUCACAUUAUCUGGUCCUGGCACCUUACACUGGCUAAUCUACUACAUUUUUCAUCUGUUAUAUAAGAAUAUAUGUUUAUAUCAUUGUUGCUUGUGAGUUUAAAAUGCAAGUAUAUACUAAGGAAAUAAACUAAAAUACCAUUUUUAUUGUUAUUAUCCUCUCAUAUUUGAAAUUUAUACACAGAAAGUAAAAUUUCAUAGGAGAAUUUUCAAACUCCUGACAGUUUAUUUAAAGAAUACUCUAAUAUAGCAACUGAGAAUAAAGUCCAAUACAGAGUCACAAUUUAGCAUACCAUGUCCCACAGCAGUAGAAAAUUUGGGGACAGGUGACAUUAAAAAGAUCAAUAAGCAGAUAGAAGUUUGAUAACACAGAAGGAGGCAGGAGGGGAUAGACUAUAGACUAAUGUUUAUUCUAGAUUCCAAAGGACAACAAAGUUCAUCAUUAACAUAAACUGGUUAUCUAGAAAACUUUAAUAUUUGAAUACAAAAUGUAACUGGAAGUCAACAUAGAUCAUAUAUUAAUAUAAAUUUGGAUCAUAUCAGGUAAAGUCCAGUAUUAUAGUUAUUUUGUUGUAAGUACUCAUAGUAUUCUAAUUUGCUAUCCCUGAUUUUCUAAAAUGUUUAUAAUACAAAAGAAUGGUAAUGAUAAAAGAGAUGUACAUAGUUGAAAUAAUUUGUGACUCAUUAGUCUAAAAAAUAAUUAUUCAUCUUGAUUUUAAAACAUUUAGCCAUUUGAAAGGUAAUCAAGUUUGAAAGUUUAUAUUCUAGUUUAACAGAGCAAUGCUGUCAUUUGUAAAGGUACUUAAUAGUAGAUGUUAACCACAGAGAUUUUAGAAUAUCUGUCAUGAUAUUCUAAAUGAAAAUUGAUGAUAAAACUGGAAAUUAUAAAAUUUUAUCUAUAUCCUCUCUGUAACUAACCAUCCAUGGACUGAACUAGGUAAUUCGUGUAGUAUAUUAUGAAAUAGCUUCCUAGAGAAUCAAUCUUGAUGCUAGAAUGAAAGCUCAGUAGUUAAGAAUUCUUUCUGCUCUUAUGGUAUAUGCAGAUUUUCCCAGGACCCAUGGGGCAAAUCACAAUUAUCUAUAACUUUACUUUUGGGAAAUUUUAACCAUUCUUCUGGCCUCCAUGAGCAUCGCGAAAACACAUGGUACAUAGAUAUACAUGCAAGUAAAGAUUAGUACACAUAAAAUAAAAACAAUUCUUUAAAUAAUCUACCUCAAGUACUUUCAAUUGGAUCUACUUUUAUACUUUGAUUAUAAUUCUUGCUAUAUUUAUGUGACAUCAGACUCAGUAAGCAAUGCCCAUAGUUAUGAAUUUCUUUCCAAUUUAUUGUAUAUAGAGAUAUUUAGGUAAUUACUACAAAUAUUUAGGUAAUCACUUAACCGGGAAGUUUGUUGAAAGAGAAAUGUGAAGCAUAGUUAGCUUAUAUUACAAAAAGUUUUCAGUGUUCAAAUUAUCAUAAUCUUUCACUUGUAUCAUUCAAAUAAUUUCUCUAUAUAGCAACAUUUUACAGUUUUCUGACAUUCCAAUUUCUUCCUUAUAUUAAAUCCAAAAUCUAGAUGAGAACAUUGUCCUUAUCUAGGAAGAUUGACUCAACACUUCGCUGUGCUUCGCUGAUUAAACUGAGCAUCUAUCUAACUCUAAUGAUCCACUUCCCAUGGCCACAUUACUAAAAGCAGUGAUAUCAUGACUAAGGCCAAAAAUUUUUAUCACGAUUUUUAGCAUUCUGUAAGAAAAAAUUAUAAAAUAAAUUUGGAAAUUCUAGAAUAUUAUCUAACCCAACAUCACAGGUCCUAAUGCAAUUCCUACAGAAAAUGUAUGUACAUUCAUCAUACAAAGCCCAGAAAGCUAAUAGACAAGGAAAAUUAAUAUCCCAAAGAUGAUUUUGUAUGUUGUAAACAAAAUUAUUGUAUUUGUUUCUUCUCUGAAGUAAAACCAGUUAAUCCUGAUAACAAUUAUGGACAAUAUUACUCUUACUAUAUUGAUACUAUUUGCCUAGGACCUAAUUAUCUCAUGUUUCCUUCCAUCUAAUAGAAAAAUUUUACUCCUGUACCUUAUGGCUUCUUUUGAGGUAUUCUAGCAUAGCAGAUCAGAUACUAGAAUGGUAGUUAUUGUAUAAAUGGGAUAACAUUUUAGGUGUAUUAUGAUAUGUGAUCACAGUGUAUUAUUUGGUUUAUUGUAUAACAGAGUAUUCAAUUAUUAGUUUAACAUGAAAAAGACGUAAAGGAAGAUAGGUUUUUCAGUUAUUCUUAUUACCGAAUUAACUCACCAUGGACCCAUUGUAUAAGGGAGGAAAAUGAAUUUUAAUAUUUAUUUAAUUUAGAUAUUUUUAUCAAAUAAUUAUAACUCAGCUGUCCAAUGCUUCUCUUUAAUUAAAAACUUUAUAUAUUAACCAUUUUGUUUUUUAAUACUUUUCUUUUCAACUCAACAUACCAUUCUGCCGCUAAUGGUUCAAUACAAUGUGUAUCUUAAAUGUACAUUAAAUUAAAUAUUGUACUAGGGUUUCUUUUAUCAGUAGCAUUGAUCUUAAUUAAACAUUGAUUGCCUCUGUUUUUCUAAUGUCUGUCACCUAGUUAAUGUAUUUCACAUUCUAUAUUAUCAGAGUAGGAUAUAAACCCAAAUUAAACAAUAUUGAUUUUGAUCCACUUUUGCAUACCAAAUUGAAGUUGGCUUUCCUCUAGAACUGUAUACAAAUCACAACAGAAAUUAUCCAUUUUCCUGCAAUUCUGGGCCACUGGAGUUUGGCAAGUUACAAUAGAGUGCUCAUCUGUAGGCCAGACCAGUUUGUGCGUAGCAGCCUUUCUUCUGAAACCAAAUGUAAAUUCAUGCCCAUGUGGAUUUUGUUUUAACAUCUGCUACUGAGAGAACAUUCAUAUAUGUUAAUGGAAAUCAACCUCAGAUAUUUCCUUGAAGUUGUAAUGAGACCUAUUACUAUGAGAAAACAUCAAAGUAUGCUCUCCUAACCAGAUAUUUUUAUUAAAAACCCUAUCCAGAUUACCAGGAAGUCACAUUUAUCAAUUAAUUACAAGAAUAGCUGUCAAAUAUCAAAUUAUAAAGAGUUCAAUAGAGCUAUAAAACAUAAAAAGUGGUUUUGGGAAAGUCUGUAAAGUAAGGUAUAUUUUCUUGAAAUGAAAAUUGACAACUAGGUACUAAGGAAUUUGGAGAUGAAGAGUUUCUAUGAAUGUUCCAAAUCUAGCCUGUGCCAUAAUACAUCAUAGCACUACUGAGGAACUGACGGUCUAAUGUGACAAUAGUGUGAAUACUGAAAGAAUGAUUGGGAUACAAGAUAAUAGAUGUAGAUGGCAGUCAGUUUACAUGUGUACAAAGGGUGGCCUUAAAGGAGUUCUAAGCAAGAAUGGGUGAACUGACACCAUGAAAUAUGUAUUUUGACUUGGCCAAUUUGAAAAAUUAUUUUAAAAGAUGCAGAAUGGAAACAGAAAGACAAAUUACAGUAAUAGAUUAUAACACUUGCUAUAGGAAAAAUACUCAGAGAGAUGUUUAUUAAGUAAAGUUCAAAGCUUUUGAAGCUAGAAAAGUAGUUUCUGAAAUGAGUACUGGAAGGGAUAAGGACAUUCUCAUGAGGUAUGACUAAGGAAUAAACUAAAUUUCAGAUAUAGUUUUCUGUGAACUAUUAGAGGAAAUUUAGUAGAGGGAUGAUAGACAGCAAACUAAUUUGACAUGCUAGUAGAUGAUUAAGCACUUUGGUACUAUGGGUGUGUUAGAAGAAGAGAAAGAAAUUCUGCCAUCACCUCCAUAUGUGUGAGUAUUGGGACUUGAGAAUGUUAACACUGUAGUAUGGUAGGUCUGCUUUAGAUUGACUAGCUCCCAUGGAAAUAAAAGUGAUCUGACCUACCUAUAACAGAAAUUAAAGCAGAUCUUCAUUCUAUCAGUGUUUGAAAUACUAUGAAACUGGGAGCGACAGCAGUUUUAAGACCAGUUAGAUUGGUUUCUUGACACUUAUCACUCAUAAAAUUUCAGUUGUUAUCAACUAGCAAAUUCCAAGAAACUUAGAAGCUGUAGUCACCAUGAUCUAAAAAGCAAAUAAUACCCAAGAUAGCAAGGUCUCAGCAAACAUUCACCCACAAGUCAGUCUUGAUUGCCCUCUGUGGGAACCGUAGUCAGAUCAAAGCAUCUCAAAUCUAACAACAAACAUCCCCAGGCAGCUCUUCCUCAAUUGCUUCUACUCAGGGAUUAUCUUUCAGAAAAUGUAAUAUUGCCGAUGAAAAUGAACCCAGGAAAAUCAAGUCGGCAAGAACAUCAAGAAUGAAACAUUGUUUGUCUUAUUAUUAUUCAGGAUGAAAUAAUUAUUUGACUCUAUUUGAUUAUGUAUUCUGGAUCAUUCCAAAGCUUCUUAUGAAAGUCAACACUUCUAUAAUAAAAAAGUGGAGUGUUUAGGAAUUAUGUGGCUUCACUGAUCAUUAUACUCUUCAUUGACAGGAAAAUAUUAAAAUAGUUGGUUAGGAAAUUAAGUCUCAGUGUGAAAUAAUUUUGAAUUUUCUUAGAGUUGGGAUGUUCUGACAUAAGUAAGACUAAUGUCACCUUCCUGCUAGUCUCCUUGCUUUCGUUAGGAAGCAAUACAACAACAACAAUAAUAAUACCCAAACUUUACUGUUCCUUCAAUAAUAAAGCCAUUACGUGCAGAAAUUCACCGCUUGGGCUUCACCCAGGCUACAAAUUCUGGUCUUGUCACUUACAUUAUCUGUUACAGUGCUGUUUUCUAGGUAAACGUGUGUACUCCUUCUCCUUUUUACUUAUAUGUGUUCUGAAGCAGCACUGAAGUAGACUCUAUUUUUACUUUUCUGUAGUCAUUGACUAAGAGACUUGAAAUAAAUACAGCUGUUCCUAGUCUCCAUCAUUUCAGUAUUUAGAAAAAUAAAUCUUCAAGGAAUAUCCUGGGAUUUAUUGAUCUGAGGAAUAGUUUUUCCCACUUGUACUAGGUUCUGAUUUUUUUUAUAAUUGAACAAAGAUAAUUUAAACCAAUGAAAUGUCAAAAUAAACCUGAAUGAAUCUUUCUUUGAUAUAUAAAUGUGAACUUAUCUUCCCAUUAUCCUCUUUACUCUUCCUUCUUAUGUUCAAUCUCAUUAUGUCAGGAAAUCAUGUGUCAUGGAAGUGUAAAUAGCAACUUCUACAUUUGUUUCUGAAUAUUCUAAAUCUAUUGGAUGAUAAAACUUGAAGAAACACUAUAGAAACACUAUAGAAUCUAUAGUACAGAUUUAGUGUUGACAUAAUCCUUUCAUAGCUCAUAUCUUGGUCCACUUUGAAAAUGUGUGUGUGUGUGUGUGUGUGUGUGUGUGUGUGUGUGUGUGUACAUGUGUAAAGGUAAAAUUUAUUAACUAGAUGUAAUUAUUGUCUAUCAGGCUUAUAGCUGAAUAAGUUAACACUUUCUAGUUCUUUCUGAAUCCUGGAUAGCUUGUUCAACUCAGUUGUUCUGGCUCAAACUCCUCUCCAAACUGACAAAUUCAAUGUCUUCUCUCUACUUCUCACUGAGUCACUUUGCAUAACUUCAAACUAACUCUGGCAAUCUAUUUUUAUCUUCUGGCUUAUUCUCAUUCUCUAGCUGGCCCUGUCUUUACUUGCAACCUGUCUCUGUAACACUAUACUGACAAAAUUGCUUCCCCUCUCUCUUUUUCUCGCUGAGCUGCCCUCUUAAAUUGCUUUUCUUUCCUGUUUGUUCCUGUGACAGUGGGUGUAUUCUGUCUCUGACUCAUUCUGUCAAAACUUUUCCUGGUUCAUCACUUAGGCUGCCCCUCAAUUGGAUGUUAUUAUUUUGGAUUAAAGGUACGUACUAAGAUUGUGUUUGUAUUCUACUCAGGGAUUAAAGGUGUGUUAUUCCAGCUGGAUAACACAGGCCUAGAUCUUUGGAUAUGAUUCCUUGCUAGAGUAGCCAUGUUGCUGGAUUAAAAUUCCUCUACAUAUAGAUGCAUUUUUCCUUAGUUUUGGGAUGUUUUCUUUAAUGACCUGGUUAAAAAUCUGAUCUUUGUCAUUCACCUAGGUUUCUUCUUCUCUGUCUUUGCUUAUAUUUUGAAAUUUUAGUACUUCAUGGCAUUUCCUGCAUAAUCUGUUCUUGCUUUUUAAAUGUUUUCCAUAUUAUUUGUGUGUAUGAUCUAAUUCCUUUGUUAUCUUUGAAUAUUGAUGUUCCACUUCUACUUGUUCUGUUCUACUUGUAACAAUUUCCCCUGAGUUUCCAAAUUAGGUUUUUGAGUUUUCCUAAUUCUAGCUUGAGUUUGUAAUAUUUUUCUUUACAGAAUUUGGUUUUUCCAUCCUGUAAUUUUCUUUAUAAUUCCAUUCAACCUUCUGUUUAUGUUUUUACACCAGUAGCACCUUCUUUGAAUUCGUUCUUUUUAAUUUCAUUGGGCUAUUUUUGUAUCUCAUUUAAGCUUCAUUGGUUCUUUGAAGACAUUUAUUAUUAUUUUUCUUUUAAGAAAUGUGUCAUGGGGUUCAUCUGAGUAAAUGUUAUUAGAUGAUAUUUCCAUUCGACUGGUGGCUUCUGUGAUGAACAUACUGUCUAAAAACAUUAAUAUAAUGUUUUUGUCAUGAGACCUAUGCAUAUAGACGUUUUUGUUGGCUGUAUUUCUGCUGUAAACUCUGAAGGUUGGGCUAAAUCACAGAAUAGGCCUCCUGGCCUGAACCUGAAAAUAAGAGAAGGCAGAGGUUGGGAUCAUCUGACUGGGCUAGAGCUUUGGUUGUGGAAGUCAGCAUAGGUCUUGGAAUUGAGGAGGAUAAUACAGAGAAAUAUAAUGAUGCUUACUCAUUAGACUGGGAUAGAGCACUGUAUGUCUGAGCUGUCUGGGCGUUAAGAGUGGAACUGUCAAUAAUUUUGAAAAUUUUAAUUUAUUCAUCAUUAGCUACUGAAUCAUCUUUAUAUUUCCAUUUUGAAUUUGUUGUUUUAUGUAUAUACAUAUGAGUGGGAGGGGGUUGUUGAAUUUAUUUAGCAUUGUUGUUAUAUAUAGGUCUUUGUGGAUGAUCCCAUGGGUUUUGAUAACUUAUCAAGGGACUUGUUCUUGGAUGAGACUGAUUCUUCUUUUAACAACAGCCAUUAUAUUCCUGUUUUGGUGACACACCCAUUUAAUCUCAGCACUCAGAGUCAGAGUCAGGUGGAUCUCUGAGUUUGAGGACAGCCUGUCUUACAGAGCUAGAUCGAGGACAGGCAGGGCUACACAGAGGAACUAUCUCUGUUUCUGUCUCUGUAUCUGUAUCUCUCUCUUUCAUACAGGCACACACAUAGCAACAACAGCAGCAACAGCAACAACAACAACAACAACAACAACAACAGAAACAACAACAACCUGAAACAAAAGAAAAUGGCCAUUCAUUGGGGGCAGCCCUUCAUUUGGUGCUUUAAGGAUCUUCCUCAAAACAUCAUAUCGUCUAUGACAACCACUACAGAGUGCUCUGUUCCAGUAUAACACGCAUUUCUUAAUAUUGACUUAACUGUUUAAUAAUCAGUUGCAUGGUCUCAUUUAACUUAUUUAAUUCAUUAAUAGUCACUUCACUUCAAAGUAACUUCAUUGAGAUUAUUUGUAGCUUUUUAAUAAUUAUAGUUUAAAGAACGAUUUACCAUCAUUGGCCAAUGUGUUCAGAUAUUCAAUAAGAAAUACUAAGCUGAUGUAUAAAAAAUAACUAAAUUGUUGAAAAAUUGUAAAAUUGAUUGCUUCAUAUGUUGUUAUUAAAAUAUAUUACUAAAAAGUUCUAAUUUAAAGUUUUGAUUUAUGUAAUUCUAUAUGUGAAUAAUAAAAAAUUAAACCAUGUUUUGAUAAGAACACUCUUAACAUUGUGCAAAAGAAUUUUAUUUAGAAGGGAAUAGUCUAAAUUCAGAAACUUAAAAUUUAAUUUCAAUUUUUAAAUUUAAACUUGCUAAGUCUAAAUAGUAAAUGGAAAACAAAGAUAUAAGACGUCUACUGAAGUACAAUAUAUUUUUAGUAAGCUAGGAUAAACAGAAAAGUAGUUGUCUUCUGGAUGCAAGGCGGUUUUGUAUUUAAAGUAACAUCUUUUUCCUUAAGGAACACGACUUGACUAUUUGAAAAGAGAAAAAUCAAGAUAAACCAAACAUAAAACUAUAAAGUUGUACAAUAUCUGAAUGGAUCAUGGGGUUUUAGAAGAAAAAUCCUAGAAAAUUAUAAAUAAAUACAAUAAAUUAUUUAAAAGGUUAUUUAAAGUUUUUCCUUGUUGUGUUUAAUUAAAAUAUAUGCUCUUUCUUGGGAGUUCUCUCUAAUCUCCCAGCUAAGUUCCAAGAACAGCUACCACUGUGGACUGUCUCUCUCAGCCCAGCCAGAUGCCAGCUGGCAUUUUUCCAAGAACACUGCCCAUUCCUCCGACUGGGUUUGCCAAGCUGCCAACAACUGUCCUUCCCCAAAAUGCUGGGAGUUUCUCUUUGCACUACCUGCUAACUGCCCCAGCUGCCUGCUCUCUUCUCCUGUCCCCUUUAGCUUGGAGGAAGAAGAAUGCUUGAGAUUUUUAUCAUUUUAAAACCGACCAGAUAACCCAACAGCUGAGUUUAAAUGUUCUUCUCCUACUAUUAACAGUACCUUUUCCAUGCUCCUUUGCCUCUGCCACAUAGGUCCACCAAGUGACCAAAGCAAGAGGCUCCCAGGACCCAACUGGGAUGACAGUAGCUGAAAUACCCAAUGAAGGGGAAGAGAAAGCCUGUAAAUACCAUAUCCAGAGUUUAGACACAGUCCCUGUUGAGGGAUAAGGCCACCUUCCCUAACUCAAAAAUAUUAACCCAAAAUUGCUCCUGUCUAAAGGAAAUGCAGGGACAAACAGUGGAGCAGAGACUGAAGGAAAAACUAUCCAGAGACUGCCCACGUAGGGAUCAUCCCAUAUGCAGACAACAAACCUAGACACUAUUGCUGAUACCAAGAAACUCUUGCUGACAGGAGUCUGGUAUAGCUGGCGCCUGAGAGGCUCUGCCAGAGCCUCACCAAUGCAGAUUAGGAUGCUUGCAGCCAACCAUUGGACUGAGCAUGGGAACCCCAAUGGAGGAGUUAGAGGAAGGACUGAAGGAGCUUAAGGAGUUUGAAACCCCAUAGGAAGAACCACAUUGUCAAACAACCAGACACCCAGAGUAUCUGGCAUCAGUAGGAGGGGAGACUCUUCCUCCUGUGGAGGCUUGAUGCCCCAGCAUGGGGGAAUGCUAGGGCAAUGAGGUGGGAGUGCGUAGGUGGUUGGGUG
Non-coding RNA from Rattus norvegicus (Norway rat), 13497 nucleotides. The record is from RefSeq and is a predicted model, not a curated record. NCBI's taxonomy places the organism in Eukaryota, Metazoa, Chordata, Mammalia, Rodentia, Muridae.